This is a long non-coding RNA of Ostrea edulis (European flat oyster), 759 nucleotides long. RefSeq lists it as uncharacterized. The record is from RefSeq and is a predicted model, not a curated record. The transcript has 2 exons. NCBI's taxonomy places the organism in Eukaryota, Metazoa, Mollusca, Bivalvia, Ostreida, Ostreidae.
GUCAUAUUUAGGGGGAAGGGUUGCCAUAUACUUCCCAAGGAAGUUUGCAGCCUCUCACUGAAGAGGAACUGUACAGAUUUUUGUGCAUUAUCUUAUACACGCCUGCUGUGAAGUUCCAGUCGAUAGACAGAUAUUGGUCAACGCAUGCCCCUGUCGGAACAACUCAUUAUCAAGAAUUAUGUCUAGAAAUAGGUUUCAAGAGGUUGAAUAUAAGAACAUUUUUGUUAAAUAUGAUGCAAGUACAUUUAAAUCUAGUGAUUGAAAGUAAGUACUUGAACAUUCGUAUAUGUUGAACUUGGAGAGGAAAAAUGGUUAGUACUUUUUGAUAACAUUUGAUAAGGUGUUGUUGCUUAGCAACCAAAUAUAAUUGAAUAAAAAAAUAGAUUGUUUUAGAUUAACAAUAAUUGAAAGAUCUUUGUUUUAAUGUUGCAAAACUUAUUCUAUUUAAUGGAACAUAAUGGCAAAACGUCAUAUUAUUAGAAAAUGAUGGACAAGUAUAUAAAGUACGAAGUUUCCAUUUGAUGACCUUUGACCUUAAUUCUCUUCAUCAUAUUUUUGUUAAAAACCUUUUAAAAUGAUUAAGAUCUAUUCAAAGAUUAUAUUUUUAAAAUAAUGUGACAUUUACUAAUCAUCAUGGAUUGUAAUUACGUUUAAAUUGUGUCGAAUGGAUGCAGAAAGGCAAAUUAUGGUCAAAAUUGUACUAUGAGUGUUGUUACUUAGCAACCAAAAAUAUUUGUUUGUCAAUAAAAUUGAUUAGUU